CAGAGACUGCAAGCGUUAUUCGGAUUCACUGGGCGUAAAGGGUGCGCAGGCGGUUGGGUGUGUCAGAUGUGAAAUCCCGAGGCUUAACCUCGGAACUGCGUCUGAAACUACUCGACUAGAGUAUUGGAGAGGGUAACGGAAUUCACGGUGUAGCAGUGAAAUGCGUAGAUAUCGUGAGGAACACCAGAGGCGAAGGCGGUUACCUGGACAAUUACUGACGCUCAGGCACGAAAGCAUGGGGAGCAAAAGGGAUUAGAUACCCCUGUAGUCCAUGCCCUAAACGGUGCACACUAGGUCUUAGCGGAUUCGACCCACUAGGGCCCAAGCUAACGCGUUAAGUGUGCCGCCUGAGGACUACGGUCGCAAGACUA
Molecule: ribosomal RNA, 371 nt
Filed under: uncultured organism
Description: bacterial SSU rRNA
Rfam family: Bacterial small subunit ribosomal RNA
Source: RNAcentral